AUACUUACUUGGCAGGGGAGACACCAUGAUCAUGAAGGUGGUUUUCCCAGGGUGAGGCUUAUCCAUUGCGCUUCGGGUGUGCUGAUCCCUACGGUUUCCCCAAAUGUGGAAAACUCGACUGCAUAAUCUGUGGUACUGGGGGACUGCAUUUGUGCUCUCCCCUG
This is a small nuclear RNA of Pteronotus mesoamericanus, 164 nucleotides long. RefSeq annotates it as U1 spliceosomal RNA. NCBI's taxonomy places the organism in Eukaryota, Metazoa, Chordata, Mammalia, Chiroptera, Mormoopidae. The record is from RefSeq and is a predicted model, not a curated record. The transcript has a single exon.